This 550-nucleotide long non-coding RNA is filed under the name Dasypus novemcinctus (nine-banded armadillo). Its description in RNAcentral is "lncRNA (ENSDNOG00000050285.1)". Lineage: Eukaryota; Metazoa; Chordata; Mammalia; Cingulata; Dasypodidae. The record is from RNAcentral.
CCCAGAACGCCUCAGAAUUAACUGGAUCCUCCUUACACACCCCCACCCCCACCCAAGACCCAUGCUAGGUACCUAGAUGUGUUUGACUAAUAGUCUUGAAGAGAAUAUGGAUAAGUCCCUCUGAAAUCUAUUAUAAUGGAACUGUCAUAUCCUCUUUCAACUACUGAUUUCGCAGCUAUUCCUGAAAAAAUCUUUAAAAGAAUUCAGUAGGAUUAGUAUUAUGUUGGUGGGUUGAUGGGAGAUUUUUUUUUCACAACCAGGGUCCUUUUCCUCAAGUAAUUGACAUUUGAAGAUCUUUUUCCUAUAAAGAAUGCAAGAAAAGAACAAAAUAACGAUAAAGAACAAAAUCCUAACACUACCAAGAAAUUGAGUUUCUUUAUUUUCUUUUCCAGUUUUUUUUGAAAAAUAUUCUCAGCUUAAAGAAAAAAGACUCAAAAGAACCGAUCCCCAGAUAUGUGGAAUGUGAGAAAUCAAAUCAGACCAUGGGAGCCUGGAGUUGCUGCCCAAAGAAUUGGAUUUCAUUUAAAUCCAACUGCUACCUUAUUUCUGG